This 344-nucleotide long non-coding RNA is filed under the name Papio anubis (olive baboon). RNAcentral describes it as "lncRNA (ENSPANG00000047128.1)". The record is from RNAcentral. Lineage: Eukaryota; Metazoa; Chordata; Mammalia; Primates; Cercopithecidae.
AUGUUAUUAAUUGUAAUCAUAACAAAAGUUUAUUAUUAAAGUUCUCCAUUUCUUUAAAACCUAGGUGGGCAAGAUACUAAAUACUUUUCUUGGAAUAUGUCAUCUUGAUUGAAAACUACUAGGAUAUUUUUGAAAAAGUAGCUCAUUAGCUGGCCGGAAUCUCACUCUGUCACUCAGGCUGGAGUGCAGAGGCACAGUCACGAUUCACUACAACCUCAACCUCCUGGCUCAAGUGAUCUUCCCACCUUAGCCUCUCCAGUAGCUAGGAUUAAAGGUAAGUGCCACUGUUCCCCGCUAAGUUUUGUAUUUUCUGUAGAGACAAGGUUUCACCAUGUUGCCCAGGC